RNAcentral lists this ribosomal RNA (484 nucleotides) under uncultured bacterium. RNAcentral describes it as "partial 16S ribosomal RNA". It matches the Rfam family "Bacterial small subunit ribosomal RNA", at positions 30 to 507 of the family's 1533-position model. The record is from RNAcentral.
AUUGAACGCUAGCGGGAUGCUUUACACAUGCAAGUCGAACGGCAGCGCGGACUUCGGUCUGGCGGCGAGUGGCGAACGGGUGAGUAAUGUAUCGGAACGUGCCCAGUAGCGGGGGAUAACUACGCUAAAGCGUAGCUAAUACCGCAUACGCCCUACGGGGGAAAGCAGUGGAUCGUAAGACCUUGCACUAUUUGAGCGGCCGAUAUCGGAUUAGCUAGUUGGUGAGGUAACGGCUCACCAAGGCGACGAUCCGUAGCUGGUUUGAGAGGACGACCAGCCACACUGGGACUGAGACACGGCCCAGACUCCUACGGGAGGCAGCAGUGGGGAAUUUUGGACAAUGGGGGCAACCCUGAUCCAGCCAUCCCGCGUGUGCGAUGAAGGCCUUCGGGUUGUAAAGCACUUUUGGCAGGAAAGAAACGUCGCGGGCUAAUACCCCGUGGAACUGACGGUACCUGCAGAAUAAGCACCGGCUAACUACGUG